This 1959-nucleotide ribosomal RNA is filed under the name human gut metagenome. RNAcentral's name for it is "bacterial LSU rRNA". It matches the Rfam family "Bacterial large subunit ribosomal RNA", at positions 3 to 1999 of the family's 2925-position model. The record is from RNAcentral.
UCAAGUAAUUAAGUGCAUGUGGUGGAUGCCUUGGCAGUCAGAGGCGAUGAAAGACGUGAUAGCCUGCGAAAAGCUCCGGGGAGGCGGCAAAUAUCCUUUGAUCCGGAGAUGUCUGAAUGGGGGAACCCACCUACUUUAAGGUAGGUAUUGCAACAUGAAUACAUAGUGUUGCAAGGCGAACGAGGGGAAGUGAAACAUCUCAGUACCCUUAGGAAAAGAAAUCAAUUGAGAUUCCCUCAGUAGCGGCGAGCGAACGGGGAUCAGCCCAUUAAGUUAUGUGUGUUUUAGUGGAACGCUCUGGGAAGUGCGAACGUAGAGGGUGAUAUUCCCGUACACGAAAGGGCACACAUAAUGAUGACGAGUAGGGCGAGGCACGUGAAACCUUGUCUGAAUAUGGGGGGACCAUCCUCCAAGGCUAAAUACUCCUGACUGACCGAUAGUGAACCAGUACCGUGAGGGAAAGGCGAAAAGAACCCCUGUGAGGGGAGUGAAAUAGAUCCUGAAACCGCAUGCAUACAAGCAGUGGGAGCACCUUCGUGGUGUGACUGCGUACCUUUUGUAUAAUGGGUCAGCGACUUAUAUUCAGUAGCAAGGUUAACCGUAUAGGGGAGCCGUAGAGAAAUCGAGUCUUAAUAGGGCGUUUAGUUGCUGGGUAUAGACCCGAAACCAGGCGAUCUAUCCAUGAGCAGGUUGAAGGUUGGGUAACACUAACUGGAGGACCGAACCCACUGUCGUUGAAAAGCCAGGGGAUGACUUGUGGAUAGGGGUGAAAGGCUAAUCAAGCCUGGUGAUAGCUGGUUCUCCCCGAAAGCUAUUUAGGUAGCGCCUCGGACGAAUACCAUAGGGGGUAGAGCACUGUUUCGGCUAGGGGGUCAUCCCGACUUACCAAACCGAUGCAAACUCCGAAUACCUAUGAGUACUAUCCGGGAGACAGACUGCGGGUGCUAACGUCCGUAGUCAAGAGGAAAACAAUCCAGACCGCCAGCUAAGGCCCCAAAAUCAUAGUUAAGUGGGAAACGAUGUGGGAAGGCAUAGACAGCUAGGAGGUUGGCUUAGAAGCAGCCACCCUUUAAAGAAAGCGUAAUAGCUCACUAGUCGAGUCGGCCUGCGCGGAAGAUGUAACGGGGCUAAAACUAUGUGCCGAAGCUGCGGAUUUGACAUUAGUCAAGUGGUAGGGGAGCGUUCUGUAAGCCGAUGAAGGUGUAUUGAGAAGUAUGCUGGAGGUAUCAGAAGUGCGAAUGCUGACGUGAGUAACGACAAAACGGGUGAAAAACCCGUUCGCCGAAAGACCAAGGGUUCCAGUCCAACGUUAAUCGGGGCUGGGUGAGUCGACCCCUAAGGCGAGGCCGAAAGGCGUAGUCGAUGGGAAAAUGGUUAAUAUUCCAUUACUUCUGUGUAAUGCGAUGAGAGGACGGAGAAGGCUAAAUCAGCCUGGCGUUGGUUGUCCAGGUGAAAGGAUGUAGGCAUGUAUCUUAGGCAAAUCCGGGGUACUCUAUGCUGAGAUCUGAUAGCAAGCUGUACUUGUACAGCGAAGUGGUUGAUGCCAUGCUUCCAGGAAAAGUCUCUAAGCUUCAGUUACACAGGAAUCGUACCCGAAACCGACACAGGUGGUCAGGUCGAGUAGACCAAGGCGCUUGAGAGAACUCUGCUGAAGGAACUAGGCAAAAUGGUACCGUAACUUCGGGAGAAGGUACGCUGUUGUUGGUGAUGGAACUCGCUUCCUGAGCUGACGACAGCCGCAGAAACCAGGCCGCUGCAACUGUUUAUUAAAAACAUAGCACUCUGCAAACACGAAAGUGGACGUAUAGGGUGUGAUGCCUGCCCGGUGCUGGAAGGUUAAUUGAUGGGGUUAGCGUAAGCGAAGCUCUUGAUCGAAGCCCCAGUAAACGGCGGCCGUAACUAUAACGGUCCUAAGGUAGCGAAAUUCCUUGUCGGGUAAGUUCCGACCUGCACGAAUGG